RNAcentral lists this ribosomal RNA (544 nucleotides) under Leuconostoc sp. RSJ4. RNAcentral's name for it is "bacterial SSU rRNA". It matches the Rfam family "Bacterial small subunit ribosomal RNA", at positions 36 to 538 of the family's 1533-position model. The record is from RNAcentral. Lineage: Bacteria; Bacillati; Bacillota; Bacilli; Lactobacillales; Lactobacillaceae.
AAUUGAUCUGGCUAGAGAACGCUGGCGGCGUGCCUAAUACAUGCAAGUCGAACGCACAGCGAAAGGUGCUUGCACCUUUCAAGUGAGUGGCGAACGGGUGAGUAACACGUGGACAACCUGCCUCAAGGCUGGGGAUAACAUUUGGAAACAGAUGCUAAUACCGAAUGAAACUUAUUGUCGCAUGAUACGAAGUUAAAAGGCGCUUUGGCGUCACCUAGAGAUGGAUCCGCGGUGCAUUAGUUAGUUGGUGGGGUAAAGGCCUACCAAGACAAUGAUGCAUAGCCGAGUUGAGAGACUGAUCGGCCACAUUGGGACUGAGACACGGCCCAAACUCCUACGGGAGGCUGCAGUAGGGAAUCUUCCACAAUGGGCGAAAGCCUGAUGGAGCAACGCCGCGUGUGUGAUGAAGGCUUUCGGGUCGUAAAGCACUGUUGUAUGGGAAGAACAGCUAGAAUAGGGAAUGAUUUUAGUUUGACGGUACCAUACCAGAAAGGGACGGCUAAAUACGUGCCAGCCGCCGCGGUAAUUCGUCGUGACUGGGAAA